GAGUCCUGAGCUCGCCUCUGUUUCUUGCCACUUCACCAGAGCUGAGACUACUCUGUGGGCUACUUGAAGUCAUGAAGCCUUUUUUGGUAACUUUGGCUGUGCUGCUGCUCUUCUUCCAAGUCACUGCAGUAGGCAGCAUUGAAAAAUGUUGGAAUUUUCGUGGCUCCUGCCGUGACGAAUGCCUGAAGAACGAAAAGGUCUAUGUUUUCUGCAUGAGUGGUAAAUUGUGCUGUUUGAAGCCCAAGGACCAACCACAUUUACCACAGCGUACAAAGAAUUAGUGCUUUAAAGUCUGAGGCCACAAAAAUGAAGAUAAACUUGCCCUGACUCUGAUGUCAGUAGAUUCCUGAGCUUUAUUAAAACAUCUUUGGC
Molecule: long non-coding RNA, 372 nt
Organism: Cercocebus atys (sooty mangabey)
Lineage: Eukaryota; Metazoa; Chordata; Mammalia; Primates; Cercopithecidae
Exons: 2
Source: RefSeq, a predicted model, not a curated record